UAUGCGCACCGGAAUUGCAACCAUCGCCUUCCUGGCAGUUUCCCCCACUGUUAUCUGUGCUGUCUUUGUGACACAAACCACACUGCAUAGAAAAACAGAAGACGAGGACUAUGUGUUCCAUCUGGUGAGUGCUGUGAGU
This is a long non-coding RNA of Coregonus clupeaformis (lake whitefish), 139 nucleotides long. RefSeq lists it as uncharacterized. NCBI's taxonomy places the organism in Eukaryota, Metazoa, Chordata, Actinopteri, Salmoniformes, Salmonidae. The record is from RefSeq and is a predicted model, not a curated record. The transcript is spliced from 3 exons.